Molecule: long non-coding RNA, 1509 nt
Organism: Acinonyx jubatus (cheetah)
Lineage: Eukaryota; Metazoa; Chordata; Mammalia; Carnivora; Felidae
Exons: 3
Source: RefSeq, a predicted model, not a curated record
UGCUGCCAGGGGGCUGGGAGGACAGUUGAGACCUUGCAGCUUCUGUGGGCUUUGUCUCCCACCAGGACACUAUGGCAGGGGGCCCCCCAAACAUAGGGGUGAGAUCCUGGACAGCCAUUACCACAGGGUGAGACUGCCUGUAGCCUGGAGGAACCGCGAGCCUGCAGACCGGCCAAUGUCAAAUACUGACUUUAUCGUGCGUAAGAACCAACCGGGGCAGCCAGUGUUUUCAAACAGAUCACGGCUCACUCCUGGGUCAUGCAAUCAGUUUAGCGGGUCAUGGCCAGAAGUUUUAAAACGUGAUGUAGAAGAGAAACUCAGAUAUGCAGUAUCGUCAAAGACCCCCCUGCUGCUGGUUGCAUGUGGACAAGAGCGGAGGAGAGACCCUUCGGGACAAGCCUGAGGCCCAUCUACAGGAGAGAUGCUAAGGGCCCAAACCUCAGCGGUGCUCACCGGAACAGAGAGAAGUUCUAGGCAAGAUCAGGAAAGCCAGCGCCGGCUGGAGGCCUGACCAAGAAGAGGACAGGCUCCCCGUCGCCGGCUGGGUGAGUAGGAGGACGAUGGCGCCAUCACCCGAGCUGGGGGACAGCGGGGAGAUGCCGAUUUGGCUCUCAGCGGAAGCAGACCAGGUGCAGAAAAUGAGCUAAGGGCCGGACGCUCUGAUCAGGGGGGCCUGCGGAACCUGACGGGGGUUAGCCUGAGACGUGAGCCACCUGCCCUAAGCUAAGCCAUCGGACACUGUCCCCGGGAUCGCGGCUGCGGGCAGAGGCACGCAGGACCGUUCACUCUGCAGGGCCGCCCCGGACAGAGUCGCGUUCCUGCUCUGGAGGGCCCUUUCAGAGGGCUGGUCCUGCGGUUUCCGGCUAAAUCAGUGAGCUCCCUGUCCCUGUCCUUUUUGGUUAGGCUAGCCAAAGCCGUUUUCGGUCGCUUACCACCAAAGAGCGCUCUGACUGAUAAAUGGCACCCACUCUGCGGGUCUCCCAAUGUCCGCGGCAUUCAGGCGCCACCGUCUCAAAGGCGUUGCAAACUGCGAAGUCCCGAUCAGAUGUAAAGAACAUCUCCCUGAGCCCUUCGUCUCCACUGGUGUCAGGCUGCCCCCCGUCCCUCCACCUGCUGGGAACCUGGGGCUCAGCUUGGCGCUAGGGCAAGCAGGAAAGGUUGGAGAGGAGAUUCGGAAUGGUCCCGAACCGCCCCCACGCAGAGCGAUCCACCGGAACCGUCUGCAUUCCGAGCUACCACCGCCCUUUACAGACGGGACAGAGAGGCUGUGACGGUCAGGAGAAAGGGGGAGGAGGGGGACCAGGCACAGGGACGGAAGCUGCCACCUCGGCCGAGUAGAGUCAGGGCUCAUAAACAGGUACCGGGGGUCUUUUCUCAGAGCCCUCUCCGGCCCCGCCGGGGACUGUGUUAAUUGGCUCCUCUGUGCUCCCACCGCCCCUGGGCUUCCCGAGGGUCCUGGCUUUACUGUCUCCUCCAGGCAAGCACAGUGUAUUCACUGUGUCCUCCAUA